UGACAGAUAAUCAGAAUUUUUUCCUUCCAAAUCUGAUUAAUUUGUAUUUCAUGCCUGGUAAGCAGGUCAGUUCCACCUGUCCUGCUCUGUUUCAGUCUCAUUCCAACAGAUCUGAUCCUCAUCAGGAUCAAACCUUUCCAUGACACCAUCCCUGCAGCAGGUGUGAGAGAACAGCAGUUUGGGCCAAACAGAACUCCAACAUAUGAGCUAAUCUGUGGAGAGAAAGUUCACGAUGACACCAAUUUUCCAAAGAAAUAAUUUGACCACUAGAUGGAGCAACAAGCCACAUUUUUAGUAACUUAUAGAGUCUAGCCCGAAAUUAUUCGUACCCCUAGCAAACUUUGAUUUAAAGUUACUUUUAUUCAACCAGCAAGUUUCAUUUUGGAUUGGAAAUGACACAGGUGUUCCCCAAAAGAUAAUAAGAUGUUAUACAAGAGGCAUCAUUGUGAAAAUAAAUAUUUCUCAGCUUUCAUUUAUAUUUAAAAAUAACUUUAAGUUAAAAUUUGCUAUGGUAUGAAUAGUUUCGGCCUUGCCUGUAGCCCGUUGCAACAAACAAAGCUGAUGUUUUCAGUAGAAUGAGCAACAAAUUCAGUCUGAACAAGUCACUGAUGAAACAGUAAUAUUAUAUACUCUGUAUUUGUUAUUCUGAGUAGCUUUUUGAUUAAUCUUGUUAUCAGGUGAGACAAGCACACAGUGAAGACAAUGAACACAAAGUUUUUAUUCACGUAAAUGCGUGUGACAGUGCAUGAAUUUGUCUCCAUUAUAAUUCUGUAUAACUAAAGAGUACAAAAAUAUACUUGACUUCUUUUCCAUAGUGGCUUUCAUUGUAGAGUCUGCCAGCUUUGCACCUGACUGGAUGCCUUUGCAGCACUUUUUUCAUUCGACAGCUCUUCAGAUUUCCUAGAGCUCCUCUAAGUUGUACUGUAGAACAUCUUGACCUUUUUGUCAUAACACCAACUGUCCCAUAGCACCUGCAAGCAUCUGAAAGAUGCUCCAUUACCAAAUUCACAACUGUUUCACUGUCUAUUUCUGAGCUAAUCCGGCCAUUAUUAUGCAAAGAUGCACAGGUGCUGUCUUAUCCAUCUGUGCCUGUACAGGUCCCACAGUGUACAAGAAAAGCUCUCUAUUUAGUUGCCUGUAAAGGGUUUAACUCCUGACCAACAUCUCCCUCUGUUGGCUGAAGUCCUUAUCUGUAACGGAAAACAAUUUCAGUCAUUAUUUGCUCAUGACUCAGUUCAUUGUUGGAGGAAGUGACACGGGAAAUUACCGGUUAAAUACAGGAAGAGCAGGUUUUCAGAACACAGUGAUAAUAAGAAGUAAUGCAAAAUAUCGCUGAGGGAAAUCAAUGUUCAGCCCGAGAAAGAUAAUCCUAACAUAACAUUAUUAUCGAUUCUUAAUUAUAACAAUAACAAAACCCAUCUACUGUUGCCUACAGCAGAACAUUCAGUUUUCAGUUUCAGUUUAAAAAAAAAUCGAAACACUUUUCACUUAAUAUCUUUAUGGCCCCAGGAGCCAAUAAAGUUUGUCAAUUUAGUCAUUUGUGUUAUUUAAACAUUCAUACAUUAUUUUUUUUACUGGGGCUAGUUACAUCUCCAGUAUACCCUCCUGCUCUGUGAACACACACACAGACACACACACUUACAAACGGCUCUGCAGCACCUUGAAAUAGUGUAUGAGUCAGCACAAAACGGAAUACAUUUUUAAACCAAAAAGCCUUAUUGAGGCAGAUGGCUGUCUCUUAGCUGGCCUCUCUGCAAACCAGCGCUAGUGCACGGCCUCUGUCACUCAUUCACACACACGCACACACUGAAACCACUGUUCCCUCUAAGCUGCGCGCGUGCACAAUUGCGCACUGCUGACACGGUCUCCGCGCACACAAAAUCUGCGCUGCGCACAAAAAAAAUCCAACCUAAAUUGUAAAUAAAAUAAACACGUAACAAUUCAUUCUGUGCUAUUUUUCAAUGUGAGUCAGUGAGUGACCGGUGACUGGCUGUUGCAGCCAAUGAUGCGAUUCACAUACGUAUUUACCAUAGACUGUAUAUAAUGGUAUUUACGCAGCUAAUCAACGUCAGGCGUCCUUAUGUGCAGCCACUGUUGUUCUCAUAGAUAUGAAUGAAUAGAUAGGACACGCCCCUUUGAGCUGCGUGCUACAGCGAGGCUAAGCUAGUGGGAGCAAAGUUUCAGUGCAUUCCGUUGAUGUAGACAACGUGAAAACGGAAACAAGUAUGCCGGCUCACUGUGCUGCAUACAGUUACACACUACGUCGUACGAUUGAGACAAGGAAACUUGGAAUGACUUUUCACAGGUUUCCCAGAGACUAUGGGUUGAGGAGGAAUUGGAAGUUUGUCGGCUUAGACCUGGUGUCAUUCCAUCAGUGUUAAACUUCCCGGCUCAUCUUGGAAGAGUAUGUGCCAGAAAGACCACGACCAAGCAGCCUUGAGAUCUUAGACAGCGUCUCCCUGAGGUCCCUCUCUAUCUCCCCACACAUCCACCAACCACUGGAACACAUCUCCAAAGUUCUGCCGGGCCAGCUCAGCUUCCCCUCAGAAGAAGUGCCGCCACCUGCCAGAUGAAGGAGCCUUUUGAGAGGCAGCUGACAUCGUAAUUGGACUGUGCUUUGGUCUGUUCCAAUCCAGCUUCAGCUCCAGAGACGGCAGGCGGGACGAGUCAACGGAGGCCGGGUGGACGAAGGCAUGAAGCUGAGUACAAUCCAGAAAACAACAGAGGAGGAGUGCAGCGGCUCAGGGCCAGAACAGAGUAGCAUCGUAUGUCUCUUAGAAAACAUCAUAGUAUAGCCUUUUCUAUGAAAAAACGCCAUCAUAUGCAUCGUAUAUUGUACAAAUAAGUCAAAGGAAAGAGACAUACAUUGUAGAAUUGUAGUAAUUGUGGGCUGACUGAUUUACUGAUUAUCAGUAUUUUAUUUUUUACUGAUUUACGGUAAUAAAUACAUUUAAAAAUGGUGCUACUUUGGCUCUGAACCUUGAUCUACCUGUGGUCGCUCUGUCUUCUGGAGUGAUUUGAUUGGUUAUACGUAACGAAUAAAACUCCUUUAACUUAACAUCUCUAAACAAAACAAAAACGUAUCAACAAAGUUUUCUGUUAGAGUUUGUGUUCUUCUAAGUUUAACUCCAAGAUUUUAAAUACUUUCAUUUACUGCAAAUGAAUAUCUACUCCAAAUGUCUCACUAAUAAUCAUUAUCAGCCUUAAAAAACCACAAAACACCCCUCUAUACUCGACCACACUUAGUACAGUCCGGUUCCCCCUUCUAUAAAUCUGCUUGGAAUCGUCCACUUCCUGUUUGUCAAAGUGGCCUUCUACCUGGACAGGUUUUGUUGGAGCUCAUGCAACAAACAUUUUAGGUAACUGCACUUUAAUAUGGAUGGAUGACACUGAAUUAGAGUCUGUUUUAAUGAGACUGAGUUAAGAUGUGUAGCUCUGUCAUUAAAUAGUAAAUUAUUUCUCAGAAUUCACAGAGAAAAGUCUGAAAUGUUUGCUAGGUUAGCGUCCCACAUGUU
Long non-coding RNA from Amphiprion ocellaris (clown anemonefish), 3515 nucleotides. RefSeq lists it as uncharacterized. The record is from RefSeq and is a predicted model, not a curated record. Lineage: Eukaryota; Metazoa; Chordata; Actinopteri; Pomacentridae. The transcript is spliced from 3 exons.